RNAcentral lists this ribosomal RNA (420 nucleotides) under uncultured bacterium. RNAcentral describes it as "bacterial SSU rRNA". It matches the Rfam family "Bacterial small subunit ribosomal RNA", at positions 924 to 1347 of the family's 1533-position model. The record is from RNAcentral.
CACAAGGGGGUGGAGCAUGUGGUUUAAUUAGACGCAACGCGCAGAACCUUACCAGGGUUUGACAUCCUGCGACCGCCCUAUAAUAGGAGUUUUCCCGCAAGGGACGCAGAGACAGGUGCUGCAUGGCUGUCGUCAGCUCGUGUCGUGAGAUGUUGGGUUAAGUCCCGCAACGAGCGCAACCCUCGCCUUUAGUUGCCAUCAUUCAGUUGGGCACUCUAGAGGGACCCCCGGCGACAAGCCGGAGGAAGGUGGGGAUGACGUCAAGUCCUCAUGGCCCUUACACCCUGGGCUACACACGUGCUACAAUGGCGGUGACAGGGGGCAGCUACUUCGCGAGAAGCGGCUAAUCCCAAAAAACCGUCCCAGUUCAGAUUGUACUCUGCAACUCGAGUACAUGAAGGUGAAUCGCUAGUAUCGCAG